Molecule: ribosomal RNA, 478 nt
Filed under: uncultured bacterium
Lineage: Bacteria
Description: partial 16S ribosomal RNA
Rfam family: Bacterial small subunit ribosomal RNA
Source: RNAcentral
GAUGAACGCUAGCGGCAUGCCUAACACAUGCAAGUCGAGGGAGAAGCCCUUUCGUGGGUAGACAGCGGCGCACGGGUGCGUAACGGUUAUGCAACCUACCUUUCACAGGUGGAUAGCCCGAAGAAAUUUGGAUUAAUACUACAAAAUAUUAUUGGAUGGCAUCAUUUGAUAAUUAAAACAGCGGUGGUGUAGGAUGGGCAUGCGUACUAUUAGCUAGGUGGAGUGGUAACGGCACCCAAAGGCUACGAUAGGUAGGGGUACUGAGAGGGAGAUCCCCCACACUGGUACUGAGCCAAGGACCAGACUCCUACGGGAGGCAGCAGUGAGGAAUAUUUGUCAAUGGUCGGAAGACUGAACCAGCCAUGCCGCGUGCAGGAAGAAUGCCUUAUGGGUUGUAAACUGCUUUUAUAUGGGAAGAAUAAGGUGUACGGGUACGUUGAUGACGGUACCAUAUGAAUAAGCAUCGGCUAACUCCGUG